AUGAGUCCCCUCACAAAAUAGAUACACGUUUUAUCAAUGUCUUCUUACCUUCUCAUAAAUAUUAUUUUAAUUCUUUCUAGACGUGGCAAAUUCUUAUUUGCCACUUCUAAUUUUUAGUUGGAAACCAAGCAGCAUCCGAUCCAAAUCCUGAGCCCUUUAUAUGCAAACUCAACCGCCUUCCCCGAACGCCACAUUUCUCUGUUGUUAGCUUUACAAAAACCCGAACCCGGGUGAGGGAUUUUACCUGGAUCCGACUGGAAUGGCAUUGCCCGGCCUGGGACCCUUCGCCACGACGGCUUCCACGGUUUCAUCUGCCGAGGAUCCGAAUAAGAAAAUUCGAAAGCCCUACACCAUAACCAAGUCCAGAGAGAGCUGGACUGAACCGGAACACGACAAGUUCCUUGAAGCUCUCCAGCUCUUUGACCGUGACUGGAAAAAGAUUGAAGCAUUUGUUGGGUCAAAGACUGUUAUUCAGAUCCGUAGCCAUGCCCAGAAGUACUUCUUAAAGGUUGAGAAGAAUGGAACAAGUGAACACUUACCUCCACCUCGACCUAAAAGGAAAGCGGCUCAUCCAUAUCCUCAAAAGGCCUCAAAAAAUGCUCAUGCACACCCACAAGUAUCAGGGUCUUUUCUGUCAUCGGCUGCUUUACUUGAUACUGGAUAUGUUCAAAGAUCUGAUCCCUCAUCGAUGCUUAUGAACCCUAUUACUAGUGCUGCUGCAUCUUCUUGGACAAACAACGCACAAACCAUCAGUUUCUCACAAGCUAAAAAAGGUCCUGGGAUGGCCAAUAAUUCUUGUAGUAGCACUGAGAGUACCCCAAAGACACAACAAAUUGUGGAAAUGACUGAUCAGGGAAAUCAUGGUCAUGCACUGAGAGUAUUGCCCGACUUUGCUCGAGUAUACGGUUUCAUUGGCAGUGUCUUUGAUCCAAAUGCUGCUGGUCAUCUGCAGAAACUUAAGAAGAUGGAUCCUAUAGAUGUUGAGACAGUGCUGCUGUUGAUGAGAAACCUCUCUAUCAAUCUGACGAGUCCUGAUUUUGAGGAUCAUAUUGCUUUCUUCCUAUGAGAUUGACACGGACAAUUAAUCACGGUGUGUGUGAUGCUGUUGAUAAUGACCAAUCCAAAAGCAUCACUUAAUAUGCUAGGAAAAAAGGGCAAGAAUCAAAAGAGUUAGUUCUGUUAGUAUAUAUACUGUUGGUUGGACAAUAGGCUGCAAAAUUUCCAAAUAAUUUUCCCCAUUCUGCUGUCAUGUAUAUAUACAUUGUAAGAGAAGUUAAAGGGAGAAACUGGUGCAGAAUGAAGAAGAAUCGCGAAGGAAGUGUAUAGCGCUUUUUUUUUUUUUUGGAGUAUCUUGUACAGUGCUGGGUUUUUUGUGUAUUCUAGCUUUGACUGCAUAUUUUAGUGUCGUAGACCUCUUUGUAAUAUAGGUGCAUUAUUUGUCUAUGCUGCAGCUAGUUUUGAUUUGCGGUUUUAUACAAAUAUCAGUUUUUCAUUGUGUGUUGCAGUGUGUGGAUGUCGAUGGCAUGUUUGGUAGCAGAAUUUAGAGCCGGUCUUUGACUUGUAUGUUGAGAUUUUGUUUUUGACGUUUACAUUCCUGGUAAGGAGGGAGGCAGCCUUUUUGUGGCCUGUCACUCUCUUUCUACCCGGCUUUGAUGAGGGUUUGGUUUGGCACUUGGGCUUGACAUUGAGGGGGUGUCUAACUUCCA
Non-coding RNA from Durio zibethinus, 1706 nucleotides. Lineage: Eukaryota; Viridiplantae; Streptophyta; Magnoliopsida; Malvales; Malvaceae. The record is from RefSeq and is a predicted model, not a curated record.